Molecule: long non-coding RNA, 912 nt
Filed under: Lathyrus oleraceus (garden pea)
Lineage: Eukaryota; Viridiplantae; Streptophyta; Magnoliopsida; Fabales; Fabaceae
Description: Pisum sativum (pea) long non-coding RNA (PSAT_LNC010015)
Source: RNAcentral
AUUUUGUCAAAUGGGGAUUCAAAAUACUGGAAUAAUUAAAUCGGGCCCAAACAACAAAUAAUGUAAUGUAUGAGUGUAAGUGCAAGAGAACUGUCUCAUUGUAAGAAGGCCCAAGAGUAAGCCAUGUGAAGAAAAUAACACAACAAAUUAUAUCUAUAACACACUUAAAAAUUAAAUCGAAAAAAAGGUAAAAUCGGGAUUUGUAUGGAUGGACAUUGAGGAACACACAAAACCUAAAUAAUGUGCUCAAAGCCGGUUUGCACAUAUUGACAACAAUUGAAAUGUCAUAUGCGAUUAAUCGAAACGCGGCGAAAUACUAUCAAUAUAUCGAUAAAAAUAAUCAUGGAUAAAUAACAAGAAAAUUGUCAAAUCCAUAAAUUAAAAAUCGAUGUUUAACAUUAAAAUCAACAAGUGUUUAAAAAAGGAGAAAAAAUAAAAAUAAAUAAAAGGUUUAAAAUAAUAAAAAAAAAUGGUAAUACUAAUAAAAACUAGUAGAAAAUAAAAAAUAUGUUAAAAAUGAAAAAUGCUGAAAACCAAGGAUUGAACCUAGGGUUUAAUAAACAACACUUCUACCACUGGGCUAGAACUAUUUUGUUAAUCAAAUAUUGCUUGCAUUACUAUAAAUAUAAUAAACAGGGGCUGAAUAUAAUUAAAUAACAAAAAUAAACAGUAGCAGUAGCAUGAAUGAUUUCCAUCUGUUUACUGUAACUCAGAAAAAGCUCAAGACUUGAAUGAAGAUUAAACACACAAAAAACAAUCAAAUGAUGCACAUGGAACCACACACGGAAGAGAAAGGAAUCGAACAUGUGAGUUACCGAAAUACCAAGGUUGCUACCGCUUUGCGUUGUUGUUGCUGGAAGAACGUCGAGUCGUGAUGUGACGGUUCCGGUUGUAGCCUUUGUGGUUGCAACA